AAUAGAUACCCGGGUAGUCCACGCCGUAAACGAUGAGUGCUAAGUGUUAGAGGGUUUCCGCCCUUUAGUGCUGCAGCAAACGCAUUAAGCACUCCGCCUGGGGAGUACGGUCGCAAGACUGAAACUCAAAGGAAUUGACGGGGGCCCGCACAAGCGGUGGAGCAUGUGGUUUAAUUCGAAGCAACGCGAAGAACCUUACCAGGUCUUGACAUCCCACUGCCCGGUAUAGAGAUAUACCUUUCCCUUCGGGGACAGUGGUGACAGGUGGUGCAUGGUUGUCGUCAGCUCGUGUCGUGAGAUGUUGGGUUAAGUCCCGCAACGAGCGCAACCCUUGAUCUUAGUUGCCAGCAUUUAGUUGGGCACUCUAAGGUGACUGCCGGUGACAAACCGGAGGAAGGUGGGGAUGACGUCAAAUCAUCAUGCCCCUUAUGACCUGGGCUACACACGUGCUACAAUGGAUGGUACAAAGGGCUGCAAGACCGCGAGGUCAAGCCAAUCCCAUAAAACCAUUCUCAGUUCGGAUUGCAGGCUG
This 532-nucleotide ribosomal RNA is filed under the name uncultured bacterium. Its description in RNAcentral is "bacterial SSU rRNA". It matches the Rfam family "Bacterial small subunit ribosomal RNA", at positions 777 to 1307 of the family's 1533-position model. The record is from RNAcentral.